GGACAGAUGGGAGCUUGCUCCCUGAACUCAGCGGCGGACGGGGGAGUAACACGUGGGCAACCUGCCUGGAAGACUGGGAUAACUCCGGGAAACCGGGGCUAAUACCGGAUAAUUCUUUCCCUCACAUGAGGGAAAGCUGAAAGAUGGUUUCCGCUAUCACUUACAGAUGGGCCCGCGGCGCAUUAACUAGUUGGGGAGGGAACGGGUCACCAAGGCAACGAUGCGUAACCGACCUGAAAGGGUGAUCGGGCCCACUGGGACUGAAAACCGGCCCAAACUCCUACGGGAGGCAGCAGUAGGGAAUCUUCCCCAAUGGACGAAAGUCUGACGGAACAACGCCCCGGGAGUGGUGAAAGUUUUCCGAUCGUAAAACUCUGUUGGUUGGGAAGAACCAGGACCCGAGUAACUGCCGGUACCUUGACGGGACCUAACCAAAAAGCCACGGCUAACUACGAGGCCACAACCGGGGAAAUUCCUACGGGGCAAGCCUUGUCCGGAAUUAUUGGGCGUAAAGCGCGCGCAAGCCGGUCCUUUAGUCUGAUGUGAAAGCCCCCGGCUCAACCCG
This 565-nucleotide ribosomal RNA is filed under the name Cytobacillus oceanisediminis. RNAcentral describes it as "bacterial SSU rRNA". It matches the Rfam family "Bacterial small subunit ribosomal RNA", at positions 69 to 616 of the family's 1533-position model. Lineage: Bacteria; Bacillati; Bacillota; Bacilli; Caryophanales; Bacillaceae. The record is from RNAcentral.